UUGGAGGGCAAGUCUGGUGCCAGCAGCCGCGGUAAUUCCAGCUCCAAUAGCGUAUAUUAAAGUUGUUGCAGUUAAAAAGCUCGUAGUUGAAUUUCGGGAUCAAUUUAUCGGUCGUGCCUCUGGUAUGCACUGGUAUUAUUGAUUUCUACCUUCUGACGAACCAUGAUGUCAUUUAUUUGGUGUCAUGGGGAAUCAGGACUGUUACUUUGAAAAAAUUAGAGUAUUUAAAGCAAGCACACGCUUGAAUACAUUAGCAUGGAAUAAUGAAAUAGGACGUUUGACCCUAUUUUGUUGGUUUCUAGGAUCGACGUAAUGAUUAAUAGGGAUAGUUGGGGGCGUUAGUAUUCAAUUGUCAGAGGUGAAAUUCUUGGAUUUAUUGAAGACUAACUACUGCGAAAGCAUUUGCCAAGGAUGUUUUCAUUAAUCAAGAACGAAAGUUAGGGGAUCGAAGACGAUCAGAUACCGUCGUAGUCUUAACCAUAAACUAUGCCGACUAGGGAUCGGAUGAUGUUAAUUUUUUAAUGACUCAUUCGGCGCCUUACGGGAAAC
Molecule: ribosomal RNA, 549 nt
Filed under: uncultured Glomeromycotina
Lineage: Eukaryota; Fungi; Glomeromycota
Description: SSU rRNA
Rfam family: Eukaryotic small subunit ribosomal RNA
Source: RNAcentral